This 66-nucleotide transfer RNA is filed under the name Troglophilus neglectus. RNAcentral describes it as "tRNA-Asp". The record is from RNAcentral. Lineage: Eukaryota; Metazoa; Arthropoda; Insecta; Orthoptera; Rhaphidophoridae.
AAAAAAUUAGUUAAAUUAUAACAUUAGUAUGUCAUACUAAAAUUAUUAAAAUAUUAAUAUUUUUUA